UGAGCACGGGAGAUCUCCGCUAUAGCUGCCAACUCAGGUGUGGUUGCUCUGCUGUUAAAUCUGUUUCGUGGACUACUCACCACAACUCAAAUUUAAGUAUAAUCUGUGUAUACAGACUAUGCUUUCUGACUCCAUCCAUGCAGUGAUGUUCACCUACAUUGAUCUUGCCAUCUAAUCACUGAGAAGAAUAUGAUGAGAAGCAUGAGCAUGGAGCAUAGACAAUGUGGAGAGAAACCUGCUUCUGUAUCACCUCUGGCAAUUUCUCCUUCAAUCCACUUCUGAGUAGCAUAUCAGUGAAGAUAUAGAACUCUUGGCUCCUCCUUCACCACAUAUGUUUGGCUGUGCCAUAUUCUUGCCUUGAUGAUAAUGGACUGGACCUCUGAACUGAAAAAGACCUUUGCACUUGUGAACUCACAGUAGCUGUGACUGGCUGUACAAGAUCUGUGCAUUGCUUAAGAGUGACACAUAACCCGCCUUAGACAGUUGAUGGCUGUUAGAGAAAGUAUUCCUCCAAGGAAAGUGGUAGAUAGAGAAAGGAGACUUUUCUUGAGGCUUUCAAUAAACCUUGCCUGGAGUAAACACUAUAGUAGAAACAUUGCACGACCCUGCUUCAAACAACUCAACAAUUGAAAAGUAACCACGUUGGAAUGAGUUCCUGUAUACAACAGCCAUGCUAUGUCUAGAAGAGAGCAUUUCAGAGCUUUCUUCCAAUUUUCUGGCUUUUAUAUUAGGCCCCUCUUUGGUAGUAUUCCUUGAGACUUGGGGAAAGGAGCUGUUUGAUAUACAUGCCUCAUCAUUGCCUGAUCUCCCUCAGUCACUUAUUUUCAGCCAUUUAAAUAGAUAGUUUCUUCACUAACCACUCCUAUUCACUGUGAUAAGGUUAUUGGACAUGUUGAGAGCAGAGCAAAUCUAUGUAUAUAAACAUAAAUAUUUAGAAGGCAAUUUGACCUAACUCUUUAAGAGAGGUUCCCCCAUAGGGCCAAUGUACUUUCUAUCAAUAUUUUUUUGGCCAAUUUAGUCUAACAGCCAUGAAUUCCUUCC
Molecule: long non-coding RNA, 1041 nt
Filed under: Mus musculus (house mouse)
Lineage: Eukaryota; Metazoa; Chordata; Mammalia; Rodentia; Muridae
Description: predicted gene, 39388
Source: RNAcentral